This 426-nucleotide ribosomal RNA is filed under the name Triticum aestivum (bread wheat). RNAcentral describes it as "partial small subunit ribosomal RNA". Lineage: Eukaryota; Viridiplantae; Streptophyta; Magnoliopsida; Poales; Poaceae. The record is from RNAcentral.
AUGCCCUCGGCGGGGGAAGAUCAACGGUUCCUACGACAUGGCAUUGGCUUCACCACCAAGCAUGCAUACGGUGCCCUCAUGGUUCGGCCAGAUAACGAUCUCAUUGCUCCUCUCAUUUGGAGCGCCAAGGCUCCUCGAAAGCUUAAAGUCUUCGCCUGGUUACUCUUCAAAGACCGCCUCAACACCAGGGUCAAUCUUGCACACAAGCAUAUAAUCGAUUCAGAUAUAUGCCCCUGGUGUGCUAGGUUACCCGAAGACUCCAGCCACCUCUUCAUCACAUGCCCUCUUGCUAAUAGGAUUUGGCAACGACUUGGGCUCCUGCCACCAACCGACGACAUCGCAGACCUAUGGGACAUCACUAUACCUCCUCACCUCUCCACCACGGCAUGGCCCUUGGUCCUCUUGGCUUUAUUAUGGAUGAUCUAG